GUGCUCGCUUCGGCAGCACAUAUACUAAAAUUGGAACAAUAGAGAAGAUUAGCAUGGCCCCUAUGUAAGGAUGACACGCAAAUUCGUGAAGCAUUCCAUAUUUUA
RNAcentral lists this small nuclear RNA (105 nucleotides) under Bos indicus x Bos taurus (hybrid cattle). The record is from RNAcentral. Lineage: Eukaryota; Metazoa; Chordata; Mammalia; Artiodactyla; Bovidae.